Tribolium castaneum (red flour beetle) is the source of this 66-nucleotide non-coding RNA. NCBI's taxonomy places the organism in Eukaryota, Metazoa, Arthropoda, Insecta, Coleoptera, Tenebrionidae. The record is from the annotation of a RefSeq genome assembly.
AAAUUAUUUUUACAUUGAAAAUGUAAUGUUUUUAAUAAACUAUAUAAAUAGAAAUAUAAACAUGGA